This 1534-nucleotide long non-coding RNA is filed under the name Homo sapiens (human). Its description in RNAcentral is "HSALNT0210626". Lineage: Eukaryota; Metazoa; Chordata; Mammalia; Primates; Hominidae. The record is from RNAcentral.
GGGCAGUGUGCUGGCCAGGAGCUGGGGGCUGCAGUACCUCCAGCUGACUGAGGAGGCAAGCAUUGUGAGGGUGCUGCUGCAGGUCCACAGUCAUCAUUGAGGCCAGGAGCUGCCACACUCCUGAAGAAUGCGUGGGGCUUUGUGGGAUGCUGAGUUGGUUCUGCACAGCAAGGGCCACACUGUCACGUUUCUUGAACACCAUUUCGUAAGGGCCUUCCCCAAACAUUGUGGCAUAUAUCACACAGCCCAGGGACCAGACAUCAGUCUGUUCAUCAAUGACACAGUGACUGCUCAGGGAAGAGCUCUAGGGCUCAGUAGGAGAUGGUGCACUGCUGGGUCGCCUAGUCCGGCAGGGUCAGGGCCUGGUGGGAGCCCUUCAUGUGAGGCAUGCUUGAUUCAUGGCAUCCAAGUGUAUUAAAACUGGCUGCCCCUCGUCUCCAAGCAAGAUAGUGGUGGGCUUCAGGUCCCUGUGGGCCUAACCCUUGGCAUGAAUGGCCUCAAGCCGCUGUAGAUACCCAGCAGGAGCUGAAGGAUUUGAUCCUAAGUCAGGAAGUUGCCAUCGUCCUUCGGCCUUUCUCUCCAUUCCACAGUAUAUCUCUCUUAAAGAACGGAAGCAGCAGCUGGGCCUCAUGCUUAGCACACAGUGCAUGGCCCAUGAUGUCUCAGUCAUCCUCCUCAAGGACUGUCUGAGGCUGCCAAAGGGCUCGUCCAGGAUGAGUGGGCUCUUCCAGGCAAUGCACUAAGCGCCCAGGGAUCAUGAUUCUCAUCUAGAGUAAACAGGUCCUGGUGAUGCCAGUUCAGCAAGGGUGGGGUCAGGUGCCUUAAAGCCUCAGGGCACAUAGCAACGACCAGGAUGCUUCCUCCAACCCCAGCCCACUUUUGGGCAGCUCCUGCUCCCACACCUGUCAGGCCUCAAAGGCAGGGCACAGGGUAGUUUCAGAGGAGGUGCAUGGCUCAGGCCCAUCCCUGGCCUCAGUGCGCAGUGCCUGGGUCGGCCAGCCCGUACUCCUCACUGACCUGGCUCGGCUAUUUCUGUCAGGCUGUUUAUAUGUUAUAGCCAGCCUACAUGGAGGUCCAGUGGGGACUGAAUGGUAAAGGAUUUUUGUACCUUCAAUUGUCAGAGAGUCAUUAUAUCAUACCACAGUAGAGGCUCUUGUUCUCAUAGAUGAAGAGAUGGCAUGAGAAGUUCAAUAACUUACUCAGACUGAUCUACCAGAAAAUAGUGGAGCAGUGUCUGGAGUCUAGGUUUUCCUCAAGUUCAGUGAUUCUCAGCCACUCUAUACUUGUUACCUCUAGGGUAGCAUGAAUCUUUUUUGAUCAUUUUCAAUUUGGGAGAUAAACAUGUAAUUUUAGGAAAGAUUUUUAGGUUGGGAUAUUUAUACAGUAGUGCUGUGGAAAUUUUUAACUUCUUUUAAACAUGGUUAUAUUAUUAAAAGUAUCUGAAAUUAAAUAAUUUUUUUUGGUUUUCCAUCUCUAACACUAUAUAUAUAUUGUAUAAGUCUGAAAGAUAUGGCCAGAAUUGGAGGGGGAGCUC